RNAcentral lists this ribosomal RNA (476 nucleotides) under uncultured bacterium. Its description in RNAcentral is "bacterial SSU rRNA". It matches the Rfam family "Bacterial small subunit ribosomal RNA", at positions 30 to 506 of the family's 1533-position model. The record is from RNAcentral.
UUGAACGCUGGCGGCAUGCCUUACACAUGCAAGUCGAACGGUAGAGGAGCAAUCCUCGAGAGUGGCGAACGGGUGAGUAAUGUAUCGGAACGUGCCCAGUAGUGGGGGAUAGCCCGGCGAAAGCCGGAUUAAUACCGCAUGAUACCUGAGGGUGAAAGCAGGGGACCGCAAGGCCUUGCGCGGACGGAGCGGCCGAUGGCAGAUUAGGUAGUUGGUGGGAUAAAAGCUUACCAAGCCGACGAUCUGUAGCUGGUCUGAGAGGACGACCAGCCACACUGGGACUGAGACACGGCCCAGACUCCUACGGGAGGCAGCAGUGGGGAAUUUUGGACAAUGGGCGAAAGCCUGAUCCAGCCAUGCCGCGUGCAGGAUGAAGGCCUUCGGGUUGUAAACUGCUUUUGUACGGAACGAAAAGACUCCUUCUAAUAAAGGGGGUCCAUGACGGUACCGUAAGAAUAAGCACCGGCUAACUACGU